Molecule: long non-coding RNA, 4567 nt
Organism: Mus musculus (house mouse)
Lineage: Eukaryota; Metazoa; Chordata; Mammalia; Rodentia; Muridae
Product: predicted gene, 35362
Exons: 2
Source: RefSeq, a predicted model, not a curated record
AUGGUUAUCAGAGUUAAAGAAAAUAGCACUGUUCUAUUUGAUGCACAGAUCUAGUAAGGGUGGCAAUGAUAAGUUACUUGGUUACAAGAACGAGUUGAGGUCUAGCACCUACUGAGGUGUGGUACUAUGUGAUUCUGAGAUGAUAGUAACUACUCUGAGGCAUUAUAAAAUAUAUCAGAAAAUAAAAUUUGCUGAGCCCCAUUACCAAGAAGCAAAACUUGCUAAAUGGCACUUUAAACUUUGCAUCUGAUAAAGGAAUGAUUUAUUUGACAUUUGACUGGCCCACUUGCAGCAAUCAUUACAUUGCUAUAUUCAGUGACUGUGCAAAGGGGAAAGGAAGAAUAAAUCAUGUGGAGAUGCUCUCAAGUUAAUAUCUGGUGACCACGUAAUGCCAAAUUUUUAACACAAGAUCUGUCCAUGACAGCAUAAAUAAUGGAGUGUACUUGCCGUUCAGGUCAAGAGAGUGGGGCUUUUGAUCAUGAAAACCGCCUAUAACUAAUUGACAUGACAUGAUUGCACAGAAAUUGAUAAUAAGAGUUAUGUAGAGAAAAUUAUGACAUUUAAAAUAUUAACUUCAUUUAAAUUGCUUUCAGGUGAAACGGUGAUAUAUUUGCGAAACCAAAUUCAUAUCAACAUAAUUAUAAGAUAAAAUAUAAGGAUGAAAAGUACCCUUGCUGGAAUGACCUUAGUUGCCAUUCACCAGCCUUGGUGAGAGCACCAGAACACACUGGCACAAUUAGAAAGAGAAGCAAGAAACUCUAUCACUUCUGUGUGUUCUGCAACUUGAUCAGACAAAAUGCUCUCACUGAACAAGGAAACUCUCCGAAAGAACAUGGAGACUUAGCCAAAGAAUCUGGGAAGACUGCUAAGUUGUAAAGUCGUCUGCACAUGAAAACGUUCUGCAGAGGAAGGGGAUGCAGAAGGGGAAACUGGAUGUUCUCUAGCAAUUUCUAAGCACAUGGCUGGGAGAAAAUGAAACUGGUUCAAGGGACUAUAGGACAUUACUCCCCUUAAAGUUAACAGAUGGUAAUAUGAAUUUUCUUAAACUUCAGUUAUAGUCUAGAAGGAAAAUGAAGGCUGUAGCCCUAGGACUGGAAAUGCCAGCAUGGUCAGUCCUGUGUGCCCUAGCUUUGAGCUUGGCAUAAUAAAACCCUCCCUUCUCCUGCAUAAAUUACAGUAUUCUCCCCUCCAUGGAGAGUGUGGGGAGAUAAUCAAAAUGAACUAGUUUAGAAAUUAAAAAAAAAAUCUCGACAACCUCUGACUUUAAUAAAGUCUUCCAAUUAGGGGUCAACUUUAGUAUUUAUUGGACAAAUGUGGAUAGGGAAGACUGACUAUUUUUUUCUCUUUUUGGCAUCAGUAUGUAUAACUAGCUGUCUAGGUUGUUAAGUUCCCAAGCAGGGAUGAGUUUAAAAUGCAUGGAUUCUAUUAUGUGUACAAUUUAAUCACAAGGUAUUUAAAAUAGACAUUUCCAUCUAAAAUCCAAUCAGAAAUCAACACAGUUCCUCCGGCGUUAGAUGAUCAUCUGGAUUCUGCAUUUGUAAACUGGGAGAAAUAAAUGUGACUUGUGGAUACCAAGAGGUCAAGUGCGGCUGCUCAAAUAUUUUUCUUACAAAAUGACGGAUUUAUUAGACAAAUAAGUAGCCCGGCUGAUGCAAAACCCCCAGUGAUUGAAUUUUGACGUUAAGUCAACAACAACUCGAACUACAUCAGUGCUUCAAGAUUUAGUUAUGAUGGUAGAGAUUACUGAACAAAUAAGAGACAGAAAUGAAUACAGAUUUCCUAGGAGCUGCCCCUGGCACCCUCUUCGUGACAUUCUCUUCCACAUGCUCCCCUUGCUCACACUGUAUGAUAAUUAAAGGACUUGCCUAGGCCUCACAAUUGGAAAGGAACUUUAAAAUAAUUAGGCAUAUUUUUCUGUUUUAAAAAAAAAUAGGCAGGCUCAGAACGAAAGCCAGUUGAGUUUCAUAAUAAAUUCCUUCCUGGCCUGAAAGUCACCCACAAUUAGAUUGGAGGGAAAAUGCACUGAGUCUUUUUCUCUUUCUUUCUUCUCUCUCUCUCUCUCUCUCUCUCUCUCUCUCUCUCUCUCUCUCUUUAUUUCACUUUUAUUUUUCUAAGUUCUUUUCUUAACGGUUGUGUUCACAAACUCUCUUCUGUAUUUUACAAAACAGAGCCCUCUGUGUAGUUUGAGGACAUGAGAAAUGUCAGCAUCCCAUUCAAAGAUUAGGACACACUGAUAACACUAACACACACACACACACACACCAAGAGUAUGUAAGAUUUUGCCUCUCCAGUCUCAACAGCAGCACAUGCGCUUGCGCUGGCCGUGGUGCUGAAAUUUUGACUUUCCUCCUAGGAAGAGCCUGCAACCCUCAAGGAAGCUUUAGAGAAUUGUUUGUGUUUUUUCUGAAAGGAACCUUAAAUAGUUGAGACUAUAUUUAAAGAUAAAGCAGUUUAUUUCUGAUAUUCUGAUGGAUAAGGGGACUAAUUUGUUCCUGGUGUGGACAUUUUGUCUUUUAUUUUAUAUAUAACAUCUUUACUUCAGGGGGAGAGUGACUCAGUUUACCCCAUGUGUCCUCUUGGUCCCAUCAAGCAUGCAUUCCUUCUGCUUUCUCUUCUUUUCUGAUUUCUUCUUUUCUUAUGGCAUGGCUCUCAGCUAUUGCCGCUGGGUUAUGGAGCUUCGUGAUGUAUAGACACAAAACUAUAUUUGAUUUUAAGGUUUUGUCUUAUUAAGGGCUUGAGGUAAUUUGAUCUUGUAACUAGAACUUUGCUUUCUGGGUUGCCGGACUCAGAUCUCCAGAGGUAAUAAACUUGAGCCAGAUCUUUAUUUAAAUACAAUGAUAAUUCUACUCUAUGAAAUAAACCACUCAUCCAACCUUCUCUCCCAGUUUGUCAUAUUCUCUUGCCAUCAAAGCCUGCAGCCCUUAACUACACAUAUGUUUUCAUUGUCCUGAAUUUUUAAAAUGAACUUUGCAAGGCUUGGAAAGUACACCUAGAAAUUUUAAAUUUAACCCUGUACUAACAAUAGAACUCACUACAAAGGAGUGAUUGGUGUUAGUUUUUGCCCCCUUGUUGCUCCCAGGAGUAGAUGAUAACUUGUAACAAAUAAAACCUUUCUAUUAGUAAGGAGAAUAUGCUAUCAUCUUUUUUCAAAAUAUACUUCUGUUUACAGUUGCCUAAACUCAUCUCCAGAUUUAUAUUUCAAUAUGCUCUUUAGGAUGCAAAAUUCCUGUCAAAUUAAAAAGUGCUCAUGUCUUGCCCGCUUCCAGCAAAUCACUGCAGCCCCUAAUAAAUCCAGCUGGGGUUCGUUCCACGGCCUGAUGCUGCUGAAAUCAUUAUUGUCCUGCCUUGUUUCAUGUCAGAGGCCUCUUUGCCUCAUCUGUCAUGAAACCAAUUUCACUUUAUUUACAUCCAUUUGCUAGUUUAAUUACUGUGCUGAUGAAUAGCCUGAAGGAAUUAAGUUACGAGUCUUUGGAAACCAAAAGAGACAGAUAUAUGGGCUAGCUUUUAACUACAGGGAAAGAAAUAAAGGCUAGUGGCUUACACCAAAAUUUAAAGAUAAAAAGUAUUUCUCCCUACCAAGCUGCUAAUUCAGGAUUAUCCAUCUUCACGUAUGCAGCCCCUCCUGGAUGGAAGUGUGCUUUAGAGUUCUUCAUAUUUAUAGAUGGACCAGUUCUGUACACUAGUAUUCUCCACUUUUAAAUGCACCAACACCCCCCCUUUUUUUCAUAACUAAGCUUCACAUAUGAUUUCCCAGCCAAACCAAACAGUCUAACGUAGUGGACUCCUUAUUAAAAGCAGAUAACAAAUGUUAACCUUAUCCUGCACCUAAGAUAGGAAAAUGCCUUUGUGAGAACUAUAAAACUUAAUACCUCCAGACUAAUAUAUAGUACAAAUUACCUGUAUUUUGUACAUACUGUAAUAGCACUUAGAUAAUUUUUGUUUUAUAUAAUUAAGCACUAUUUCACCCUCGCCUUUAGUGUAUUUUUAAAUCUUUCUUAAGGACAUUCAGUUACUUUCUUCCUUACAUGCCCAACAUAGUAAAAUGUUGUGGGUGUAUGCUAACGAUGAGGUCUUAUGAUCUAAGUGAUAGAUGCACUCUCAAACAUAUGUAAGCAAUCAAGUAUUUACUCACACACAAUGGAAAUAUAAGAUCAAUAAACUUUUAGUCAUUCCAUAUAUUACAAAUUAACUUCUACAAUAUAAGCUUAUUAAUCAUGACAGUAUUUAAAAGAAGACAUAUUCAGCAGUAUGUAUUCCCUAUUAUAUCACUUAUUGUAGCUUUUACGAUAGAAAUUUGGAAACUUUUCACGUUAUUUAUCAUCAUUGUAAAUUAAAACAACACAUAACAAAUUGACUUUUGGUGAUUUUACUGUAGACUGUAGUCUCAAGUAAGACUGCACAUGCAGAUAAGUAAGUUUUAAAUUUAUCUUGAUUAUUUUUUUUUCUUCCAUUGCUCUGUUUCUGGUACAGUUUCUAGCCUUUUAAAAAUGAAUGUACUCCCUGGAUUUACUUACGAAAUGUGUGCAUAUGACAAAUAUAUUCAUCUCUUAAUAAAAUUUUAAUUAUU